AGUGAACGCUGGCGGCGUGCCUAAUACAUGCAAGUCGAACGCUUCACUUCGGUGAAGAGUGGCGAACGGGUGAGUAAUACAUAAGUAACCUGGCAUCUACAGGGGGAUAACUGAUGGAAACGUCAGCUAAGACCGCAUAGGUGUAGAGAUCGCAUGAACUCUAUAUGAAAAGUGCUACGGGACUGGUAGAUGAUGGACUUAUGGCGCAUUAGCUGGUUGGUAGGGUAACGGCCUACCAAGGCGACGAUGCGUAGCCGACCUGAGAGGGUGACCGGCCACACUGGGACUGAGACACGGCCCAGACUCCUACGGGAGGCAGCAGUAGGGAAUUUUCGGCAAUGGGGGAAACCCUGACCGAGCAACGCCGCGUGAAGGAAGAAGUAAUUCGUUAUGUAAACUUCUGUCAUAGAGGAAGAACGGUGGAUAUAGGGAAUGAUAUCCAAGUGACGGUACUCUAUAAGAAAGCCACGGCUAACUACGUGCCAGCCGCCGCUGUAA
This 498-nucleotide ribosomal RNA is filed under the name uncultured bacterium. Its description in RNAcentral is "partial 16S ribosomal RNA". It matches the Rfam family "Bacterial small subunit ribosomal RNA", at positions 29 to 523 of the family's 1533-position model. The record is from RNAcentral.